RNAcentral lists this ribosomal RNA (253 nucleotides) under uncultured bacterium. RNAcentral describes it as "partial 16S ribosomal RNA". It matches the Rfam family "Bacterial small subunit ribosomal RNA", at positions 524 to 776 of the family's 1533-position model. The record is from RNAcentral.
UACGUACGGUGCAAGCGUUAUCCGGAUUCACUGGGUUUAAAGGGUGCGUAGGUGGGCAGGUAAGUCAGUGGUGAAAUCUCCGAGCUUAACUCGGAAACUGCCGUUGAUACUAUUUGUCUUGAAUAUUGUGGAGGUAAGCGGAAUAUGUCAUGUAGCGGUGAAAUGCUUAGAUAUGACAUAGAACACCAAUUGCGAAGGCAGCUUACUACACAACGAUUGACGCUGAGGCACGAAAGCGUGGGGAUCAAACAGG